Molecule: long non-coding RNA, 905 nt
Filed under: Bos indicus x Bos taurus (hybrid cattle)
Lineage: Eukaryota; Metazoa; Chordata; Mammalia; Artiodactyla; Bovidae
Description: lncRNA (ENSBIXG00005003694.1)
Source: RNAcentral
CUUGGGGCACCUGGGGAGCAGCUGGGCCUGAUCAGGAAGGGAGCCUGGAGCCUUGCUCUGCGUCUCUGCUCAGCCUCUCUCCAUGAUACCAGAAACGACUGGAAUGUUUCAUUCCUCGGACUUUUUCUGAGACUUAUCAGCGGCCUUAUGAAAAAGUACCUGUUCGCCCGUUUAUUUUUAGCUAUCAUAUUAAACAUUCCAGCCGAAAAUUACAAGAUCAAAACUCCCAAAGGUCGGCUGCCUGCUUCCUAGCUUGCUUUUGAGAACUGCUUAGAAGCUGCGAGCCGCCAAGUCCCACGCGUGACUAUCCUGGGAAGGCGCGGAGGCCGCUGUCCCUGGGGGCGCCUCCCCUGGGUUUGGAGGCGCUGUGCGCUCUGUCAGGCGAGAGGAAACGCGCAUUAGCCAAAUCCAGGCAGGCCGCUCAGAUGCUGUAAAAGAUUCCCAGUAGACCUGCUUAACGCUUUUCUGACUGAUCUUCGGCUUCAAGGUUAUUAUACCCAAGCCGACUGCACAUUACUAAAGUACAUUACUAAAUUACUUAGUAAAGCUGGUAUAUUCCAACAACGCUGGCCGCACACCAGAAUCAAACCAGUCUGGACCUUGGACAGAUCUGACCCCCUGGCCAAGAGAUGAAGCCUGGGGCUGGAGCUCAAAGUGUCUAAACCCAGCCCAGGUACUCCUGGGACUCCUGGCUGGGUCAGAGGCUCGGGAUGGGAGGGGAGACUACGUGGGACUCAUUUCUCCUGUGCUGACUGCCAUACUGCCAUUCCUGCUAUUUUCUGAAGUCUCCAAGCUGCAGCCAGGAAGAUGCUGAGACAGGAGAUUCUGCUCAACCAGGGAGCUCCAAAAGACCACAAAGGGCCUGUUGUUUCACAGUCGAGGAGCCCCAGUGUCAACGGAGACGU